AAGCAGCACUCUGCAGCAGAUAAAACUGACACAGUUUGAGCUUGCUAUAGAAGGAAAGUCUAGCCUAUUCCGGUAUUCUCUUCUCUGUGAGACAAGGCGUCAUGUAGACUUAAACAGG
Molecule: small nucleolar RNA, 118 nt
Filed under: Cervus elaphus hippelaphus
Lineage: Eukaryota; Metazoa; Chordata; Mammalia; Artiodactyla; Cervidae
Also listed under: 1 other name
Description: Small nucleolar RNA SNORA28
Rfam family: Small nucleolar RNA SNORA28
About the family: ACA28 is a member of the H/ACA class of snoRNA that guide the sites of modification of uridines to pseudouridines.
Source: Rfam by way of RNAcentral